Molecule: transfer RNA, 78 nt
Filed under: Candidatus Thorarchaeota archaeon
Lineage: Archaea; Promethearchaeati; Candidatus Thorarchaeota
Description: tRNA-Pro
Rfam family: tRNA
About the family: Transfer RNA (tRNA) molecules are approximately 80 nucleotides in length. Their secondary structure includes four short double-helical elements and three loops (D, anti-codon, and T loops).
Source: RNAcentral
CUAGGUGUAGGAAAGCAUGGUCAAUCCGUCUGCCUUGGGAGCAGAAGAACGCUGGUUCGAAUCCAGCCACCUAGACCA